UACGUAGGUGGCAAACGUUAUCCGGAAUUACUGGGCGUAAAGGGUCUGUAGGCGGACUGGCAGGUCUGGCGUGACAAUUCUCGGCUUAACUGAGAAAGUGCGCUGGAAACCGACAGACUAGAAUCACGUCGAGGUCGGUGGAAUUCCCGGUGUAGUGGUGGAAUGCGUAGAGAUCGGGAGGAACCCCUAAAGCGAAGGCAGCCGGCUAGACGAUGAUUGACGCUGAGGGACGAUAGCGUGGGGAGCAAAC
This 250-nucleotide ribosomal RNA is filed under the name uncultured bacterium. Its description in RNAcentral is "partial 16S ribosomal RNA". It matches the Rfam family "Bacterial small subunit ribosomal RNA", at positions 524 to 773 of the family's 1533-position model. The record is from RNAcentral.